This 425-nucleotide long non-coding RNA is filed under the name Ananas comosus (pineapple). RNAcentral describes it as "long non-coding RNA (ACOM_LNC017182)". The record is from RNAcentral. Lineage: Eukaryota; Viridiplantae; Streptophyta; Magnoliopsida; Poales; Bromeliaceae.
CUUUUCUCAUUCGUCCCCUUAUUAUUAUUAUUCAAAAUUUUUAAAUUUAUCUUUAAAUUACUAAAAUAUUUUUUAAAAUUUCAAAUCCCAUUAAUAAACCUUAAGGAUUUGGGGAUAUUUGAAGGAAUUUUUGAAAAUCAAUAAAGAUAUUUUGGUCAACCAAGAGUUAUUAAAUAUUUUGAAAGUUUUGAAGGAUAUUUUAGAUAUUAAGCUAAUUGAAUUUCUCUUGUGACGAAAAAAGGAGCUUUUUAUAUAUCUUGGAGGGCUUUUUAUAUAUCUUGGAGGGAAGAUUUUCCGACGGCAUAGCAUGGCGCAGCACGACGCAGUAAGAUUCUUUCUGAUACGGAAAACAUGUUUGGUUGCUGAAGUGACAAUUUUUUGUCUCAGUCAAAGGAAUUUCUUCUGUGAACAUGAGCGAUUUACUG